AUUGAACGCUGGCGGCAGGCCUAACACAUGCAAGUCGAACGAGUGGCGGACGGGUGAGUAAUGUCUGGGAAACUGCCUGAUGGAGGGGGAUAACUACUGGAAACGGUAGCUAAUACCGCAUACCAUCGGAUGUGCCCAGAUGGGAUUAGCUAGUAGGUGGGGUAAAGGCUCACCUAGGCGACGAUCCCUAGCUGGUCUGAGAGGAUGAACAGCCACACUGGGACUGAGACACGGCCCAGACUCCUACGGGAGGCAGCAGUGGGGAAUAUUGCACAAUGGGCGCAAGCCUGAUGCAGCCAUGCCGCGUGUAUGAAGAAGGCCUUCGGGUUGUAAAGUACUUUCGGUAGCGAGGCGUUACCCACAGAAGAAGCACCGGCUAACUCCGUGCCAGCCGCCGCGGUAAUUC
RNAcentral lists this ribosomal RNA (406 nucleotides) under uncultured bacterium. Its description in RNAcentral is "partial 16S ribosomal RNA". It matches the Rfam family "Bacterial small subunit ribosomal RNA", at positions 30 to 526 of the family's 1533-position model. The record is from RNAcentral.